This 501-nucleotide ribosomal RNA is filed under the name uncultured bacterium. RNAcentral describes it as "partial 16S ribosomal RNA". It matches the Rfam family "Bacterial small subunit ribosomal RNA", at positions 30 to 523 of the family's 1533-position model. The record is from RNAcentral.
AUUGAACGCUGGCGGCAGGCUUAACACAUGCAAGUCGAGCGGGGGAAGGUAGCUUGCCACUGGACCUAGCGGCGGACGGGUGAGUAAUGCUUAGGAAUCUGCCUAUUAGUGGGGGACAACAUCUCGAAAGGGAUGCUAAUACCGCAUACGUCCUACGGGAGAAAGCAGGGGAUCUUCGGACCUUGCGCUAAUAGAUGAGCCUAAGUCGGAUUAGCUAGUUGGUGGGGUAAAGGCCUACCAAGGCGACGAUCUGUAGCGGGUCUGAGAGGAUGAUCCGCCACACUGGGACUGAGACACGGCCCAGACUCCUACGGGAGGCAGCAGUGGGGAAUAUUGGACAAUGGGGGGAACCCUGAUCCAGCCAUGCCGCGUGUGUGAAGAAGGCCUUAUGGUUGUAAAGCACUUUAAGCGAGGAGGAGGCUACUUUAGUUAAUACCUAGAGAUAGUGGACGUUACUCGCAGAAUAAGCACCGGCUAACUCUGUGCCAGCCGCCGCGGUAA